RNAcentral lists this ribosomal RNA (715 nucleotides) under uncultured bacterium. RNAcentral describes it as "bacterial SSU rRNA". It matches the Rfam family "Bacterial small subunit ribosomal RNA", at positions 771 to 1498 of the family's 1533-position model. The record is from RNAcentral.
AACAGGAUUAGAUACCCUGGUAGUCCACGCCCUAAACGAUGAUAACUCGAUGUUGGCGAUAGACAGCCAGCGUCCCAGCGAAAGCGUUAAGUUAUCCACCUGGGGAGUACGCCCGCAAGGGUGAAACUCAAAGGAAUUGACGGGGGCCCGCACAAGCGGAGGAGCAUGUGGUUUAAUUCGAUGAUACGCGAGGAACCUCACCCGGGCUUGAAAGUUAGUGAAGGAUGCAGAGACGCAUCCGUCCUUCGGGACACGAAACUAGGAGCUGCAUGGCUGUCGUCAGCUCGUGCCGUGAGGUGUUGGGUUAAGUCCUGCAACGAGCGCAACCCCUAUGUUUAGUUGCCAGCAUGUAGUGGUGGGGACUCUAAACAGACUGCCUGCGCAAGCAGAGAGGAAGGUGGGGACGACGUCAAGUCAUCAUGGCCCUUACGUCCGGGGCUACACACGUGCUACAAUGGAUGGUACAGCGGGCAGCUACAUAGCAAUAUGAUGCUAAUCUCUAAAAGCCAUUCACAGUUCGGAUUGGGGUCUGCAACUCGACCCCAUGAAGUUGGAUUCGCUAGUAAUCGCGUAUCAGCAAUGACGCGGUGAAUACGUUCCCGGGCCUUGUACACACCGCCCGUCAAGCCAUGAAAGUUGGGGGUACCUAAAGCAUGUUACCGCAAGGAGCGUGUUAGGGUAAAACCGAUAAUUGGGGCUAAGUCGUAACAAGGUA